Podarcis raffonei (Aeolian wall lizard) is the source of this 846-nucleotide long non-coding RNA. RefSeq lists it as uncharacterized. The transcript is spliced from 3 exons. The record is from RefSeq and is a predicted model, not a curated record. Lineage: Eukaryota; Metazoa; Chordata; Lepidosauria; Squamata; Lacertidae.
UCUUCCUCCCAGAGCUUGAGAAAGAGAACUGUCAUUAUCUAGGAGAAGUUGUAGAUCUCUGAGGAUGCGUUGAACUGUUUUAACUUGGGAGCUGUAUGUGAUUACUAGUGGUGUUCUGUUAUUUUCUUUUUUGGGUCUGUCUUGCAGCAAGUUCUCUCUAGGUAUCAGUCUGGCUCUGUUGAUCUGUUGCUUAGCUUCACCAGGCGGAUAUUUUAGUUCUAAAAAUGUUAGUUCUAUCAUUCUAAGACAGCAUGACAUCACAGUAGCAAGUACCACUCCCUAUGACAUCACGUGGAGCAUUUCUCUGCAUCUACCGCAGCAAGUCAAUGAUGGCAGCUCAACUUUCUAUAUAUUCUGUGCACUGGGUGUACAUGUUGAGUAAAUUCACAGAAGAUAUACGAUAGAUCUUGUAUGGUGUUUUUGCACACCACAGGGGCAAAGGACACUGAGACCAAACCUUUGCUGGUGGGAGCAAUUAUUAUAACUCAAUGUCAGAAAACAAAGAAUUCUUGUGUUGGACUGGCUUUUCUGUACAGCAGGUCUGUUUACAAUAUGUUAUUUUGUACAUCUUUACCUUCAUAUGGUUUAAAUUUGCUCAUGUGGAAAUGCAAAGUGACAUACCAAAAGUUUACCUACAUCUCAGAGUCCCUUAUCACCUGCCCUGGCUCAUCCAAAGGAAGCAGAAAAUGAAGAGCAUGAGAUGUCCCCAAAUUCUGCUACCCCCUAAAAUGGGAGCAAACUUACACACGCAACUGCAUUGGGCUAGAAAUAUACCAGUAUCAGUUCCAUCUAUGACCUACUUCCAAAAGCUUAUGAGAUACACAAACACCUACCCAAACCCUCCCA